CCGCGGUAAUACGUAUGUCGCAAGCGUUAUCCGGAUUUAUUGGGCGUAAAGCGUGUCUAGGCGGUUUGGUAAGUCUGAUGUGAAAAUGCGGGGCUCAACUCCGUAUUGCGUUGGAAACUGCCAAACUAGAGUACUGGAGGGGUAGGCGGAACUACAAGUGUAGAGGUGAAAUUCGUAGAUAUUUGUAGGAAUGCCGAUGGGGAAGUCAGCCUACUGGACAGAUACUGACGCUAAAGCGCGAAAGCGUGGGU
This 251-nucleotide ribosomal RNA is filed under the name uncultured bacterium. Its description in RNAcentral is "partial 16S ribosomal RNA". It matches the Rfam family "Bacterial small subunit ribosomal RNA", at positions 515 to 766 of the family's 1533-position model. The record is from RNAcentral.